GCGCAGCAGGCGCGAAACCUCCGCAAUACACGAAAGUGUGACGGGGCCAUCCCGAGUGCCGUCCGCUGAGGACGGCUUUUCCCCAGUGUACACAGCUGGGGGAAUAAGGAGAGGGCAAGCCUGGUGUCAGCCGCCGCGGUAAUACCAGCUCUCCGAGUGGUGGGGACGCUUAUUGGGCCUAAAGCAUCCGUAGCCGGCUGGGCAAGUCCUCCGUUAAAUCCAACGAUUCAAUCGUUGGGCUGCGGGGGAUACUGUCCAGCUUGGGGGCGGGAGAGGCCGACGGUAUUCCCCGGGGUAGGGGUGAAAUCCUAUAAUCCCGGGAGGACCACCAGUGGCGAAGGCUGUCGGCUAGAACGCGCCCGACGGUGAGGGAUGAAAGCUGGGGGAGCGAACCGGAUUAGAUACCCCCGUAGU
Molecule: ribosomal RNA, 414 nt
Filed under: uncultured microorganism
Description: bacterial SSU rRNA
Rfam family: Archaeal small subunit ribosomal RNA
Source: RNAcentral